AUUGAACGCUGGCGGCAUGCUUUACACAUGCAAGUCGAACGGCAGCGCGGGCUUCGGCCUGGCGGCGAGUGGCGAACGGGUGAGUAAUACAUCGGAACGUGCCCAGUAGUGGGGGAUAGCUCGGCAAAAGCCGGAUUAAUACCGCAUACGACCUGAGGGUGAAAGCGGGGGAUCUUCGGACCUCGCGCUAUUGGAGCGGCCGAUGGCAGAUUAGCUAGUUGGUGGGGUAAAGGCCUACCAAGGCGACGAUCUGUAGCUGGUCUGAGAGGACGACCAGCCACACUGGGACUGAGACACGGCCCAGACUCCUACGGGAGGCAGCAGUGGGGAAUUUUGGACAAUGGGCGAAAGCCUGAUCCAGCAAUGCCGCGUGUGUGAUGAAGGCCUUCGGGUUGUAAAGCACUUUUGGCGGGAACGAAAAGGACUGUGCCAAUACCACGGUUCGAUGACGGUACCCGCAGAAUAAGCACCGGCUAACUACGUG
Molecule: ribosomal RNA, 484 nt
Filed under: uncultured bacterium
Lineage: Bacteria
Description: partial 16S ribosomal RNA
Rfam family: Bacterial small subunit ribosomal RNA
Source: RNAcentral